Molecule: non-coding RNA, 135 nt
Organism: Triticum aestivum (bread wheat)
Lineage: Eukaryota; Viridiplantae; Streptophyta; Magnoliopsida; Poales; Poaceae
Source: Rfam
CAAAUACUCCCUCCGCUCGAAAAUAGUUGUCAUCAAAAUGAACAAAAGGGGAUGUAUCUAGACAUAUUUUAGUUAUAGAUACGCCCCUUUUUAUCCAUUUUGAUGACAAGUAUUUUCGGACGGAGGGAGUAACAC